GUACAGCAAGACAAUGCUAGGACUCAUAUAAAACCAGAUGAUCCACUUUUUUUGCAGGAAGCUGCUAGGGGUGGUUGGGAUAUUAGGAUGAUAUACCAACCACCUAAUUCUCCCGACACAAACAUAUUAGAUCUUGGUUGGUUUGCCUCAAUUCAAGCCAUGUUCCAUAGAAAGAUGCCCAAGACCCUAGCCGAGAUUGUCCAAAAGGUUAAUCAAUCCCUAGCUGAGUACCCCCAUCAAAAGCUCAACAGGAUCUAGUUGAGUCAUCAAGCGUGCAUGAGAGAGAUCAUCAAGCACAAAGGGUCUAUCCACUACGCAGUUCCUCACUUGAAGAAAAAAGCAUUAGAGAGACAAGGACUUCUCCCGGUUCGUUUGACGAUUCAUCUAGAAUAUGUUGAGCAAGCAAUUGAGUUCUUGAACUCAACAUGAUUUGUACUGCCUCAUGUGAUGGUGCUACUAUUCGAGUAUUAGUUUCAUUAAUCUUA
This is a non-coding RNA of Aegilops tauschii subsp. strangulata, 485 nucleotides long. The record is from RefSeq and is a predicted model, not a curated record. Lineage: Eukaryota; Viridiplantae; Streptophyta; Magnoliopsida; Poales; Poaceae.